UAGUUAUAGUAAGUUUUGAAGUCUAAGACUCUAAGGAAAAUGCAGCCACAGCUGUGGUCACUAUGUGGCUGGAUAGACCACCAAAAGUGCAAUGUUUUGGUCACGGUUACAUUUGCUGACUGCAUUUUAAAACACAAUUAAUGGUGACAUCUCGCUCUUCAAAGCUAAUUGACACUCGGUGUUAUCUAGUUCUGAUUGCAUAUGCAUAAAACUUGAU
This is a non-coding RNA of Lupinus albus (white lupine), 217 nucleotides long. The record is from the annotation of a GenBank genome assembly. Lineage: Eukaryota; Viridiplantae; Streptophyta; Magnoliopsida; Fabales; Fabaceae.